CUGGGCAAUUCACCUUUUCUUUAAAUACUCAUGUCACAUUUGUGCUGUUGCCAAUGCUUCUCAGACCCUCCAGAUGAGGACAUUUCCCUGAGGAGGUGGCUAUGAUGGUAGAACUUACAAGACUUCAGUGGACAUAAGUACAAGUAUCACACAAAGACAUUCUGGAGAAUGGCAGAAAAGUGAGCGAAGCCAGAAAAACAACACUUCAAAAGGAAACAAUGCCAAGAAUACGUUAAUCUAAACCCAUGAUGUUUCUACAUCUCAAAGAACAGAGAGAAAAGGAAACUGGAGAGAGGCCAGAAGUGACCAACUCUAUUCCCUCAUUUCUGUGUUAUACUCCCUUUGUCUAAUCUUCCCUACCCUACCAGGUGGUUUAAGAAUUUUAUCCUUUCUCCAGACUAGAAGAGGAAGUGGGGGCCGGAAUUAGGUGUAUACAAAUUGUUGGAAAGCCUUUGUGUGGAUUUGGAGGGCUGAAGUAGAGUAUCAUUUUUACAAAGCAGCCCAAGCCUCUAAUCUGAGCAGGAAGAUUCACACUCAUUCUCUGGCAUGAGUCCUAUCAGGAGGAUCAAUGAAGCCAAGGCUGUAGAAAUAAAUAAUUAAUCUCUCCACCCAAGGAGGCUAGUAAACAAUAUUCAAUACGUGAAUACUGAGUUCUGCCAAGAGGAAGAAGCAUAUAAACCAGGCAACUGCUGAACGCAUUGCCAAAAAGGGAGACUUACGCAUCAUUCACUAAAGCUUUCCAAAAACUAAAUCAGAUCCAAGAACAGAUAAACUCCUGCAGAAUGACAAUGGUGGAGAAAUUGACCUCCCAGCAUUGCAGACUUACAUCAGUUGUUCUGAUGUUCUUAGUUAUAUCAGAUUCCUUCCAGAAUCUUCUAAAUAUAUCAGACGGUCAGACACAACCCCAGGCCCUAAUAAAAAACCCUGAUGCUGGCCU
Molecule: long non-coding RNA, 937 nt
Filed under: Homo sapiens (human)
Lineage: Eukaryota; Metazoa; Chordata; Mammalia; Primates; Hominidae
Description: cancer susceptibility 17
Source: RNAcentral